UAGUGAUUAACGCGAAGAACCUUACCUGGGCUCGAACGGCUGGUCAACGGAGGUGGAAACAUCUUUACCCCGCAAGGGGGUCCAGUCGAGGUGCUGCAUGGCUGUCGUCAGCUCGUGUCGUGAGAUGUUGGGUUAAGUCCCGCAACGAGCGCAACCCUUGUCCUGUGUUGCCAUACCGCAAGGUGGAACUCGCAGGAGACCGCCAGGGAUAACCUGGAGGAAGGUGGGGAUGACGUCAAGUCCUCAUGGCCUUUAUGUCCAGGGCUACACACGUGCUACAAUGGACGGUACAAAGCGCAGCGAACUCGCGAGAGGGAGCCAAUCGCAAAAAACCGUUCUCAGUUCGGAUUGCAGGCUGCAACUCGCCUGCAUGAAGCUGGAAUCGCUAGUAAUGGCAGAUCAGCACGCUGCCGUGAAUACGUUCCCGGGCCUUGUCACACCCGAAUCGAAUUCC
RNAcentral lists this ribosomal RNA (454 nucleotides) under uncultured soil bacterium. Its description in RNAcentral is "bacterial SSU rRNA". It matches the Rfam family "Bacterial small subunit ribosomal RNA", at positions 951 to 1384 of the family's 1533-position model. The record is from RNAcentral.